UGGGGAAUUUUGGACAAUGGGCGAAAGCCUGAUCCAGCAAUGCCGCGUGUGUGAAGAAGGCCUUCGGGUUGUAAAGCACUUUUGUCCGGAAAGAAAUCCUUGGCUCUAAUACAGUCGGGGGAUGACGGUACCGGAAGAAUAAGCACCGGCUAACUACGUGCCAGCAGCCGCGGUAAUACGUAGGGUGCAAGCGUUAAUCGGAAUUACUGGGCGUAAAGCGUGCGCAGGCGGUUUGCUAAGACCGAUGUGAAAUCCCCGGGCUCAACCUGGGAACUGCAUUGGUGACUGGCAGGCUAGAGUAUGGCAGAGGGGGGUAGAAUUCCACGUGUAGCAGUGAAAUGCGUAGAGAUGUGGAGGAAUACCGAUGGCGAAGGCAGCCCCCUGGCCAAGUAACUGACGCUCAUGCACGAAAAGCGUGGGGAGCAAAACAGGAUUAGAUACCCUGGUAGUCCACGCCCUAAAACGAUGUCAACUAGUUGUUGGGGAUUCAUUUCCUUAGUAACGUAGCUAAACGCGUGAAGUUGACCGCCUGGGGAUACGUCGCAAGAUUAAAAACUCAAAAUGAAUUG
This 569-nucleotide ribosomal RNA is filed under the name uncultured bacterium. RNAcentral's name for it is "partial 16S ribosomal RNA". It matches the Rfam family "Bacterial small subunit ribosomal RNA", at positions 355 to 912 of the family's 1533-position model. The record is from RNAcentral.